Molecule: ribosomal RNA, 482 nt
Filed under: uncultured bacterium
Lineage: Bacteria
Description: partial 16S ribosomal RNA
Rfam family: Bacterial small subunit ribosomal RNA
Source: RNAcentral
GACGAACGCUGGCGGCGUGCUUAACACAUGCAAGUCGAACGAUGAAGAAGAGACACGCGAACUUCGGUUCAAAUUUCACUUCGGAUUAGUGGCAGACGGGUGAGUAACGCGUGAGCAACCUACCUCUUACAAAGGGAUAGCCUCGGGAAACCGUGAUUAAUACCAUGUGACACAUUCAUAAGGCAUCUUAAGAAUGUUAAAGCUACGGCGGUAAGAGAUGGGCUCGCGUCCCAUUAGCUAGUUGGUGAGGUAACGGCCCACCAAGGCGACGAUGGGUAACCGGCCUGAGAGGGUGAACGGUCACAUUGGAACUGAGACACGGUCCAAACUCCUACGGGAGGCAGCAGUGGGGAAUAUUGCACAAUGGAGGGAACUCUGAUGCAGCGACGCCGCGUGAGCGAUGAGGGAAUUCGUUUCGUAAAGCUCUGUUCUAUGGGAAGAAAAGGACUGUACCAUAGGAGAAAGCCCCGGCUAAAUACGUG